RNAcentral lists this ribosomal RNA (439 nucleotides) under uncultured bacterium. RNAcentral's name for it is "partial 16S ribosomal RNA". It matches the Rfam family "Bacterial small subunit ribosomal RNA", at positions 339 to 795 of the family's 1533-position model. The record is from RNAcentral.
CUACGGGCGGCUGCAGUGGGGAAUAUUGCACAAUGGGGGGAACCCUGAUGCAGCAACGCCGCGUGGAGGAUGACGCAUUUCGGUGUGUAAACUCCUUUUAUAUGUCAAGAAAAUGACGGUAGCAUAUGAAUAAGCACCGGCUAACUCCGUGCCAGCAGCCGCGGUAAUACGGAGGGUGCAAGCGUUACUCGGAAUCAACGGGCGUAAAGGACGCGUAGGCGGGUUGGAAAGUCAGGUGUGAAAUCCUACAGCUUAACUGUAGAACUGCACUUGAAACUUCUAAUCUAGAGUAUGGGAGGGGGAGAUGGAAUUAGUGGUGUAGGGGUAAAAUCCGUAGAUAUCACUAGGAAUACCUAAAGCGAAGGCGAUCUCCUGGAACAUUACUGACGCUAAGGCGUGAAAGCGUGGGGAGCAAACAGGAUUAGAUACCCUUGUAGUC